UUUAAUUGUAGUUGUGGAUUUCUGUGUCCAACAUUUGACCGUUCGUCUUAUUUGAUUUUUUUUUAUGAUUAAUAUUUUUGUUGUUAUUAAAUGAUAAAACAACAAUAGUACUUUAUGUGUGACUAAUUUUUUAAUUUUUUUCAUAAAUUUUUCAAACAAGAUGGAUGGUUAAUGUUGGACACGGAGACCCGCAACUACACUUAAA
Molecule: microRNA precursor, 205 nt
Organism: Oryza sativa Japonica Group (Japanese rice)
Lineage: Eukaryota; Viridiplantae; Streptophyta; Magnoliopsida; Poales; Poaceae
Rfam family: MIR812 microRNA precursor family
Source: Rfam